UGCAAUCAUUGAACAUCUUAAAAAGAUGUUUGGUGCACAAAGCAGGACAGCAAGAUACCAGCUAUCUAAGGCUUUAUUUGGAUCCAAAUUGACUGGAAACUUUCAAGUUAGGCCUUAUGUCAAUCGUAUGAUUGAUCUUAUUGAAGAACUUGAGAAGUUGGGGUGCAAAUUGGGUAAAAAGCUUUCUCAAGAUUUGAUCAUGUAGUCACUCUCCGAAUCCUUUUCACAAUUUGUUAUUAAUUUUAAUAUGCAAAAAAUGGAUUGUGAUCUCGAGGAGAUGCUUAACAUGCUUAUUGAUUAUGAGAAUCAACUUGCAUCUGAGAAGAAGAGAGGAACUGUCAUGCUCGUUGGAAACUCUUCUAAGAAGAAGUGUAAGAGUAAAAAUAAAUCCAAGAAGAAACCUAUUGUGCCUAAGGGUGGCGUGACCAAACCCAAAGGCAUAACAGGCAAAACUGACAAAUCUGAUGCUGAAUGUUUCCAUUGUGAGAACAUAGGACAUUGGAAGAGAAACUACCUAGAGUAUCUUGCAACUCUAAAUGAUAAGAAACAAGGUAAUACUCACAUAGGACACUGGAAGAGAAACUACCUAGAGUAUCUUGCAACUCUAAAUGAUAAGAAACAAGGUAAUACUCAAUUGAAAAUUGUUUCAAAGUUUCUUUAACUACUACUGAUAUUUCAUUGUGGGUAUUAGAUACUGACAGGGUUCCAAAUAAGUAGAAGGUCGAAGAAAGGAGAAAUUAAUCUACAAGUUGGAAAUGGUGCAAAAGUUGCGGCCAUAAAUGUAGGGUCAAUUUCCUUAAUUAUGCCUACGGGCAAAGUACUUAUGUUGGAUGAUUGUUAUUACGUUCCUAUAUUUGUUUCGAAUAUAAUUUCAGCUUCUAUGUUAGAUAAACGUGGUUUUCACAUAAAUAAAGGAAAUGGUAUUUGCUCUAUUUAUUAUGGUGAUAAUUUAUAUGUAAAUGACUAUCUCCAACUUGAUGUAUCUUACCUAAUGUGAGUGCUAUUUCAACUAUGCAUGUUUCAAGUCUUAAGAGAAAAAGAGAUGAUCAAUUAAAUCAUACAUACCUUUGGCAUUGUAGGCAUGGUCAUAUUGGAGAGAAAGAAUUAACAAGUUGUGCAAGGAAGGGUACCUUGACAAAUAUGAUUUUGAAUCAUAUCCAAUUUGUGAAUCUUGUCUCAAAGUAAAAAUGACCAAAUCUUCAUUUACUGGAAGUGAAGACAGAGCUACUGAAUUAUUGGGACUAGCUCAUACAGAUGUUUGUGGGCUCAUGAAAAUUCAAGCUAGAGGUGGAUAUUCUUACUUCAUCACCUUCACUGAUGAUAUGUCAAGAUAUGGAUUUGUUUAUCUUAUGAAACAAAAGUCUGGCUCAUACAGAUGUUUGUGGGCCCAUGAAAAUUCAAGCUAGAAGUGGAUAUUAUUACUUCAUCACUUUCCCUGAUGAUAUGUCAAGAUAUGGAUUUAUGUAUCUUAUGAAACAUAAAUUUGAAUCUUUUGAAAUGUUCAAAAGGUUCUGUAGUGAAGUUGAGAAACAGCUGGGUAAAAGUAUCAAGGUACUAAGGUCUGAUAGAGGCGAAAAAUAUCUUAGUGAAAAUUUUACUAAGAAUCUCAAAGAGAAUAAAGUUCUCUCACAAUUGACACCUCCAGGAACACCACAACAUAGUGGUGUGUCUGAAAGGAGAAAUCAAACCUUAUUAGAUUUGGUGAGAUCUAUGAUGGGGUUCACUGAUAAAUUUAUGGCGAUAUGCUUUGGAAGCAGCAACAUACUUACUAAAUAAAGUUCCCACUAAGUCCGUCUCCACAACACCAUAUGAGAUAUUGAAAGGAUGUAAGCCUAACCUUAAACAUAUUAAAGUUUGGGGUUGUCCAGCUUAUGUUAAGAGAAUGCAGUCUGAUAAACUUAACUCAAGAUUUGAUAAUUGUAGGUUCGUUGGUUAUCCCAAAGAAACAAUGGGAUAUUAUUUCUAUCAUCCUUCUGACCAUAAAGUGUUUGUAGCUAGAGGAGCAACCUUUUUGGAAAGGGAAUUUCUUUUGGAAGUAAAUUAUAGUGGAGAAAUAGAAUGAUGAAAUUCAAGAAACUAAUGAAACAUGC
This 2090-nucleotide long non-coding RNA is filed under the name Nicotiana benthamiana. RNAcentral describes it as "long non-coding RNA (NBEN_LNC037236)". The record is from RNAcentral. Lineage: Eukaryota; Viridiplantae; Streptophyta; Magnoliopsida; Solanales; Solanaceae.